GCACAAGCGGUGGAGCAUGUGGUUUAAUUCGAUGCAACGCGAAGAACCUUACCUGGGCUUGACAUCCCAAGAAUCCCCUGGAAACAGGGGAGUGCCCUUCGGGGAGCUUGGAGACAGGUGCUGCAUGGCUGUCGCCAGCUCGUGUCGUGAGAUGUUGGGUUAAGUCCCGCAACGAGCGCAACCCUUGCCUUUAGUUGCCAUCAUUCAGUUGGGCACUCUAGAGGGACUGCCGGUGUCAAACCGGAGGAAGGUGGGAUGACGUCAAGUCCUCAUGGCCUUUAUGCCCAGGGCUACACACGUGCUACAAUGGGCGGUACAAAGAGCAGCGAGCUCGCGAGAGUAAGCAAAUCUCAAAAAGCCGUCCUCAGUUCGGAUUGGAGUCUGCAACUCGACUCCAUGAAGUUGGAAUCGCUAGUAAUCGCGGAUCAGCAUGCCGCGGUGAAUACGUUCCCGGGCCUU
RNAcentral lists this ribosomal RNA (459 nucleotides) under uncultured Syntrophaceae bacterium. RNAcentral describes it as "bacterial SSU rRNA". It matches the Rfam family "Bacterial small subunit ribosomal RNA", at positions 923 to 1382 of the family's 1533-position model. The record is from RNAcentral. Lineage: Bacteria; Pseudomonadati; Thermodesulfobacteriota; Syntrophia; Syntrophales; Syntrophaceae.